Molecule: transfer RNA, 74 nt
Filed under: Daphnia pulex (common water flea)
Lineage: Eukaryota; Metazoa; Arthropoda; Branchiopoda; Diplostraca; Daphniidae
Rfam family: tRNA
About the family: Transfer RNA (tRNA) molecules are approximately 80 nucleotides in length. Their secondary structure includes four short double-helical elements and three loops (D, anti-codon, and T loops). Further hydrogen bonds mediate the characteristic L-shaped molecular structure. tRNAs have two regions of fundamental functional importance: the anti-codon, which is responsible for specific mRNA codon recognition, and the 3' end, to which the tRNAs corresponding amino acid is attached (by aminoacyl-tRNA synthetases). tRNAs cope with the degeneracy of the genetic code in two manners: having more than one tRNA (with a specific anti-codon) for a particular amino acid; and 'wobble' base-pairing, i.e. permitting non-standard base-pairing at the 3rd anti-codon position.
Source: Rfam by way of RNAcentral
GGCCUGUUAGCUCAGUUGUUUAAAGCGCCAGGCUAAUAACGCGGAGGUCAUGAGUUAGAACCUCUUACGGGCCA